RNAcentral lists this small RNA (579 nucleotides) under Pan troglodytes (chimpanzee). Its description in RNAcentral is "processed transcript". The record is from RNAcentral. Lineage: Eukaryota; Metazoa; Chordata; Mammalia; Primates; Hominidae.
AGCAGUUUACGGAAGUGUAACGUUGAGGCCCUUCUUGUGUAUCUGGAGAAAAUAGAGGUUAUGACUCCUCAGGAGCAAAAAACAUAACCUGAAGAGGAAGGAAGUGGAUUUGGGGUUCACCAUUUCUAGGGGCACACUUGAUUGAAGACUGAGACUUCUGAAGAGAAGGCCAGAAGAUACAAAGACAGACCAUCCCAGUUGAAUGCUGUCUUCCAAGAACAGAAGAAGAUGAUCCAGGCCCAGGAAUCCAUAACACUGGAGGAUGUGGCUGUGGACUUCACCUGGGAGGAGUGGCAGUUCCUGAGCCCUGCUCAGAAGGACCUGUACCGGGACGUGAUGUUGGAGAACUACAGCAACCUGGUGGCAGUGGGGUAUCAAGCCAGCAAACCGGAUGCACUCUUCAAGUUGGAACAAGGAGAACAACCGUGGACAAUUGAAGAUGGAAUCCACAGUGGAGCCUGUUCAGACAGAGUCUUGCUCUGUGCCCAGGCUGGAGCGCAACGGUGCGAACUUGGCUCACCGCAACCUCCGCCUCCUGGAUUCAAGCGAUUCUUGUGCCUAUCCCCAACACUAGCACCA